CACUGACGUCGCGACGCAUAUCAAUAAGCGGAGGAAAAGAAACUAACUAGGAUUCCCUUAGUAACGGCGAGUGAAGCGGGAAGAGCUCAAAUUUGAAAUCUUCAAGGUUCUACCUUGACGAAUUGUAGUUUAAAGAAGUGUUUUCUGUUAGAUGAGUAGCAAAAGUUCCUUGGAAUAGGACAUCAUAGAGGGUGAGAAUCCCGUAUUUGGUCAUUCCUUCUAGCUUUGUGAUACACUUUCAAAGAGUCGGAUUGUUUGGGAAUGCAGUCCAAAAUGGGUGGUAAAUUUCAUCUAAAGCUAAAUAUUGGCGAGAGACCGAUAGCGAACAAGUACCGUGAGGGAAAGAUGAAAAGAACUUUGAAAAGAGAGUUAAACAGUACGUGAAAUUGUCAAAAGGGAAGCGUUUGACACCAGUGUUGUUUUUCCGAAAAUCAAUUAUAAAUGUGAUUCAUGCUAGAGUUGUAUUGACCUUAUCAGGCUUGCAUUUAGUUUUGGUACUCUUUUGUAAUGCACUUUUCGGUUAACAAGUCAACAUCAAUUUCCUUUCGCUGUAAAAGAGUAUAGGAAGGUGGCUUCAUUUCGGUAGAAGUGUUUAUAGCCUUUAUACUUCUACAAGUCGGAGAGAUUGAGGUCUGCAGCGUAGAUCCUUCGGGGCUAGAUACACUUCGUGCUAAGUUGUAGCUUUUCAUAGACAACUUGUUGACUAUGUUAGUCAUGGGAUUUACUCGCUAGUGCUAUUUUACCUACGCUUAGGAUGUUGAGUCGUAGAGCACGCAG
This 777-nucleotide ribosomal RNA is filed under the name uncultured Neocallimastigales. RNAcentral's name for it is "partial large subunit ribosomal RNA". It matches the Rfam family "Eukaryotic large subunit ribosomal RNA", at positions 26 to 634 of the family's 3401-position model. The record is from RNAcentral. Lineage: Eukaryota; Fungi; Neocallimastigomycota; Neocallimastigomycetes; Neocallimastigales.